GAUUAGUUGUAAUCAUUCAAUUUUAAGCUUUUAUAUAAACUCGCACGCGUGCCUAUAAGACUAGUUUAUUAUAGUAAAAAGAUGAUGUGAGUAAGUGUAGGGACCGCAAAAAGGAGAGAAAUCUCUAUUAUAUAAGCCAACUCCUAAGGACUUUUAAGUAAAUUAACUUUUCGUGUCCCCUUUUAAAAAGACUAAAAAACCCUCCCACACCCCCAAACAGCUACUGUCAUUCCACCUUCCAUCAAAACCGUCCACCCCAAAUUUCGCCCCCCACCCCCCGCAAAAACCUCCAUCCCAAAAUCUUCGGUUCUCUCUUUCUCUCAAAUCAGUUCUCAAUUUUUUUUUGCGUUUUUUUUCUCUCUCUCUCAAAUCUUCAGUUCUCUCUUUAGAUGUGGAUCUCAAAUCUUCAGUUAUACAUUUCUCUCUCAUAGGGUUUUUUUUUGUCUUCAAAGAUCUCCGCCAUCUCACCGCCGUUUCCCCUAAACGAAGUCCUUUUGGGGCGGGUAUUGGGUCCGAUUCUGGAUUGGGAUCGAGGUUGUUGAUGAACGGUGGGUUCGGUUCGAGAGAGGGUGGUUGAGGAGGAAGAAGAGGAGAGUGUGGUGGAUCAGGAAAGAGAUUCCGAGGGUGGUGGGUGGGUAAAGGUGGAGGAUCUGACCGUGGGAAUGGAUUCGGGUUUGGGAUUGAAAGAGCAAUUCGUCAAUGUCAAAGAACUCUUUCUUCUGAUCUCAACGACCAGGUGUUGGUUGAAGGAAAUUCGCAUAAUCGUACUGCUGUUUUUCAAGGAUCUGGCUUGAAUAAACAAGUUCUUGCCCAGGAAUGAAAGGGCAGGACAAAUGCUGGCAUGUCCAACUCAGUCACUACUGCAAUUCGUGAGAGUGUGCGUGGGAUGGCAAUUGGUAAAAAAAAAGAACACAGAGAAAGCAGAUUGUGCAACUGUUGAACAGGAAGAUUUAUAAUGUAGUUGAUGACGAUCCUGCCUUUAACAAGUCUUUGCAUUUGCACAGCAGCUAAUACAACAACGAUGGCUUGGUUUGAUUGAUGCAUCAUCUAUGGUUCUACAAGCAAAUCCCGCUGCAUUCUCGAGAUCCCUUGCAUUUCAUGAAAUUGCAUAAUGAGAUGCAGAUGAGUAACAUAACAUAAAUGUUGCUUGACUGGAAUUUGAUCAAUGUAAUCUUAUUUAGAUAGUGACUUAAAGUAGAUUUUGAUGAGUUUGUCAAUACGCAAUUUUUAGGUUUUAUCCAAUCUCACACGCAUCGCGUGCAUAUAAGGCUAGUAUUAAUAUAAUUGAAAGUGGGGACCAAAACAUGUCAAGAAAAGAAAGUGUAUCACUUUUUAAAAUACGGCCGUUUAAAGAAAGUGUAUCUCUUUUUAAAAUACAAAGAGAGUAAAACAUUAUAGAGUAUUGUUGUAAUUUUUUUAUACUCUUAUUUGUACUUGAUUGAUUUUCUAAUUUAUUUAUACUCCUAUUUGU
This is a long non-coding RNA of Spinacia oleracea (spinach), 1471 nucleotides long. RefSeq lists it as uncharacterized. The record is from RefSeq and is a predicted model, not a curated record. The transcript has 5 exons. Lineage: Eukaryota; Viridiplantae; Streptophyta; Magnoliopsida; Caryophyllales; Amaranthaceae.